This 344-nucleotide unclassified non-coding RNA is filed under the name soil metagenome. RNAcentral describes it as "partial contains 5.8S ribosomal RNA, internal transcribed spacer 2, and large subunit ribosomal RNA". The stretch from base 2 to 119 matches the Rfam family "5.8S ribosomal RNA", at positions 37 to 154 of the family's 154-position model. The record is from RNAcentral.
GUGAAGAACGCAGCGAAAUGCGAUAAGUAAUGUGAAUUGCAGAAUUCAGUGAAUCAUCGAGUCUUUGAACGCACAUUGCGCCCCCUGGUAUUCCGGGGGGCAUGCCUGUCCGAGCGUCAUUGCUGCCCUCAAGCACGGCUUGUGUGUUGGGCUCCGCCCCCCUCCCGGGGGGCGGGCCCGAAAGGCAGCGGCGGCACCGCGUCCGGUCCUCGAGCGUAUGGGGCUUUGUCACCCGCUCUGUAGGCCCGGCCGGCGCCCGCCGGCGACCCCAAUCAAUCUUUCCAGGUUGACCUCGGAUCAGGUAGGGAUACCCGCUGAACUUAAGCAUAUCAAUAAGCGGAGGA